This 77-nucleotide transfer RNA is filed under the name Holosporaceae bacterium. RNAcentral's name for it is "tRNA-Arg". It matches the Rfam family "tRNA". Rfam says of the family: Transfer RNA (tRNA) molecules are approximately 80 nucleotides in length. Their secondary structure includes four short double-helical elements and three loops (D, anti-codon, and T loops). The record is from RNAcentral. Lineage: Bacteria; Pseudomonadati; Pseudomonadota; Alphaproteobacteria; Holosporales; Holosporaceae.
GCGCCCGUAGCUCAGCUGGAUAGAGCGUUUCCCUCCGGAGGAAGAGGCCGGGGGUUCAAAUCCCUCCGGGCGCACCA